UUUAUGGAGAGUUUGAUCCUGGCUCAGGACGAACGCUGGCGGCGUGCCUAAUACAUGCAAGUCGAGCGGAUGAACCUGAUUGAUUCCUUCGGGAUGACG
This 99-nucleotide ribosomal RNA is filed under the name Halalkalibacter oceani. RNAcentral describes it as "Bacterial small subunit ribosomal RNA". It matches the Rfam family "Bacterial small subunit ribosomal RNA", at positions 1 to 100 of the family's 1533-position model. The record is from Rfam by way of RNAcentral. Lineage: Bacteria; Bacillati; Bacillota; Bacilli; Caryophanales; Bacillaceae.